RNAcentral lists this long non-coding RNA (1565 nucleotides) under Ananas comosus (pineapple). Its description in RNAcentral is "long non-coding RNA (ACOM_LNC026359)". Lineage: Eukaryota; Viridiplantae; Streptophyta; Magnoliopsida; Poales; Bromeliaceae. The record is from RNAcentral.
UUGGUAAACUCUCGGAAAUAUUAGCUAUUUGUUAUUGGGCUAAAAAUAGGUCUAAUUUUUUGUUUCGUGACAAUCGACUCAUAAAACUACUAAGUUGAGUGAGACCGCAGUCCAUAAAAGACUUAACGAUAAGAGGUUCAAUAAUAGACCUAACGUUCAGAUAGGUUGAGUCAGAUCGAAAUUCGUGAGUGCUGUGGUUGAGUCCUUAAGUAUGAUGAGUGUGUUCUUUCUAUCAGCAUAUAUUUUUGGGAUAGUUGAUUCGUAAAAAAUUCCAGACUUCCAUAUUUGCUCGCGUUCGAAGUUCUUUUUAAUAUAUACUCGUAAAGUUAGAUUAUGUUGGUAAAUUAUUAUAAUAGUUGGUAUUUCUGUUAAAUUAUUAUUUUACCAAUUCAAAUAUAUUCUUUAUUACCAUCCAAUUUCUUAUUUGAUCUUAAAAUGCCAAAUAAUUUUCUUAUCUCCAACGGUUUUUUUCCAAUAACCAACUUCUUUAUAGUUACAUGUAAGUAAUCACAACAUCACAAAUUUAUGUUACAUAUAAAUCACUAACAGAACUAACUUCAUAUGUAUAUUUAGAAGAACUUGGAAUGUUAAAUUUUUUUUUUUUUUCAUACAGAUAAUCACAUAUGGCUCUCUGCAAAGAUAUCAAUAGCAAAUAUGUCCCUACAAAACUUAAAUUAUUAAAUUUAUUCCCUCAAAAGUUCUUUCGUUUGCAAAUAUAUUAUUUUUUUACCAAAAUUUAGAUAAUCAUGAGUUAAAAAAUAACAACAAUUAGUUAAGGGGUAAAAUGACCUUUUUAUCUCUUAUGUCUUUUUAUUUUUUAUCCACAGCGACGACGAGACCUAUAACCACAUGCAAUGACAUCGAACUUGAGUUCUCGGUCAUGACAAAAAUGAGGUGCGCCACACGUGCCACUGUAAAAAAGAGGAGAGAGAAAAAAAUAUAACUUUAUGUAAACAUAAAUUUGUAAGGAAAAAAAAAUUAUUUUAUGGAUCCACUGUUAAAAAAUUAACGAUGAACCAAACAAUAAGUACAUAUAUGAACGAAUUAGAACUUUUAGAAAAAUAUAUGUAUAAACAAAACUUUUUUUGAAGGAAUAAUUUUAAUAACUUAAGUUUGUAGGGAUAUAUUUGCUAUUCCAUAUCUCUGUAAGGACUUGUGCGAAAUUAAUCCUUUUCUAUCAACCUUGUAAUGGGGAAAAUAAAGAAUUUAGAUAUUCUUUUUAAAGGGGAUAAUUACUUGUUAAGAAAAUAUAUUAGUAUGUUAGGGGCAAAGAAUAUUUUAACUAAAUUUUAAAUUUGAUAAAAAUUUAAGGUAAAAAAUUUAAUUCGAUAUAACUUAGCAGGUAAAUUAUUUUUGAAUAACGAAAAAAUAUAUUUAAGUUAUAUAUGAAACAAAAAGGAAAAGUAGAGGUAUAUAAUAUAUUUCAGAAAGCUUUUAAAAUAUUUAAAUUUAAAUUUUUUUAAAAAUUAAAUGGUGUAAAAUUUAAAAUUUAAAAAAUUGAAAUUGAAAAAGAGGGCAAAGGGCAAAAUGGUAAAUAGAAGGAAAAAAAAAAAAAGAGAACAAAA